Molecule: transfer RNA, 81 nt
Filed under: Nitella hyalina
Lineage: Eukaryota; Viridiplantae; Streptophyta; Charophyceae; Charales; Characeae
Description: tRNA-Leu
Rfam family: tRNA
About the family: Transfer RNA (tRNA) molecules are approximately 80 nucleotides in length. Their secondary structure includes four short double-helical elements and three loops (D, anti-codon, and T loops).
Source: RNAcentral
GCCUUGGUGAUGAAAUGGUAGACAUGUAAGACUCAAAAUUUUGUGCUAACAAGCAUGGAGGUUCGAAUCCUCUCCAAGGCA